CCUUUUGCCACUUGAUAAUUGAAACAUACAUCUUCCAAGAUCAUGCUUUUGAGAGCAACUUCUCAGUCUAUACUAUAUUUGUUUCAGUUUCAUUGCUUCAGUUGUCCAAAGUUGGUGAUUCUUCAACAUAUUUGUAAUAGAGGUAUUUGACAUGUGUGUUGAUGUGAGGUUAAUUUCAUUAUAAUUUUCCUGUCAUCUAAACCUUUGUAAAUGAUUUUUCAUUUGACUAAAUUAUUGGUUUUAAGUGCAUCAUCAUCAUAUUUUUACUUCUGUUUUAUUAUAUUUUAACAAUUUAUCAUUGCUCUGGGAUAAUAUAUGGUUACAAGAAAGUUUUUUGAUUUGUCUAAUAGAAUAAGUUGUAUUAGUUGAUACUGACUUAAACUUCUUGAAGUUGUUUUGUCAUAAGCAAUUUGUAAUUCGACUUCUUUACACAGUUUAACUAAUACUGUCACAUGCACAUGUAUCAGUGUUAGGCUGCCAUUGUGUGCUUGUGUGAAUGUUGAAAGAACUCAAAACUUCACAGUUACAUCUCUGUUGGUUUUUGUAGGCACUAAAGUAAGCAUUUUUAUAAGCUACGAAUGCGAAUCACACUUUUGAUUGUUUGUUACUAGAAAAAUCCAGGUUUUGUAAAUUAUAUUUUUCAUCUGGGUUGCAUGUGACAUGUUAAUAUAUAUCAUCUUUUUUUUAUAAGAUGUCUAUGUUACACCAUGUAAUUUCACAUUUUUUUUUUUCAAAAUUGCUUCAUAGUGUAUAAUAUUGUGAACUAUAUGAGUCUCCAAUAUCUUCCUUCUAGAAACUCCCUUUGUACAUAUUUUGCUAUUUUUUAUGGCUGAGAGCCUGCCAUUGUGUUUUAGUUCAUAUUACUGGACAUUUAUUCCAUAUGGCCUUCGUCUGCUCAGUAACUGGUGAAAUAGUAUAUUUUUUGAAACAAUGAGGCAACUAAACCUGUGUACCACAGAUAUGGACUCCAUAGAGCAAUUGUUAGUACGACAAGAAGUGAGUAUACAAAGCAUUGGGCUGCGAUUAAUGAUAUAUACUGUAUCAUUACUGUUUUGGUAUGACAAUGGAGUGUCUCAGUCACUCAGGAUACUUGGUGCUUAUAUAUCAGAGUAAACUACAGAGGCUGCUCCCUGAUUGGAGUACAGGAAUCAGUAAGUCUUCCUCUCCUUGCCUGUUGUGAUUACUUCUGAAUCCUCAUUUUGAUGCUUAUUUAUACCAUUACUUUCUCCACUAUGGAUGGUUGUUGCAUUGCUCAAAUUAGAGGUCUGGUAUUUGGGUGAUCACAACUUUGAAAUCCUUAAAGUUGGAAAUCAAUCAGCACUUUAUGGGAGUUUGCCUUAAAUAUAUACCUGACUUAGGAUUUUAUCUGCAUCAUCUCAUUUCCAACAAAUGCCUCGGGCAUUGUCAUCAUGGACAUUGUAAGGUUUGAUAUACUUUAGAGAAUAUUUCAUAUACACUAAUGGUGCUGUGAGUUAUGUGCAUUUUUUUUUUCUUUGACACCUUUGAUAUAGAUGUGAGAGGCUCUGGAUGAUGUAUCUGCUUGGCUUUUUUUGGUGCUAGACAGAAGCUUAACUUUAUUUCUAAGGCUAUUAACUAAUCAUGUUGUUCAUCCAUGAUGUAUUGAGUCAAAAUUUAACCUAUCUCUCUAGGCUAUUAAAUAUAUAGGUCAGAGCAAUGCAUUACAGAGUAUAUUUUAGCUGAAGCAUUUGGGAUAUUGGAUAUGUUAAUUUCUCUAGUGGAAGAAAUCAAUGGAAGUAACAUUUGUUUCUUUGAGUAGAAAACUUGGUUGGAGGGAAGGCAUAGUUUUGGUUCCAGGUUUGUUUCACUAAAUGCUAGUACAGGAAGUCUUAACUAGUUACAUUCUGACUAUGGGAAGCUCAGGAGCCUUUUUUUCUUCCUAUGUUCUCAAUGAACAUAGUAUAUUUGUCCAUGUACUUCGACGUAUUUAUAACAAAAGCACCGAUAUCUUUUGUUGGAAUCCAACAUGCUGGGAAAAGGUGUACUUUCUUGGUCUGGUUCACACAAACUUAAUAUCGCACCUUGCUUGGACCUUAUUAAUCACAUAACCUUUGUUGUGAUUAUAAAACUUGAAGAAAUAGUUGAUACCUUGUGACACUUAUGGUCUACCAUUUGCAGCGCUGUGUACGCUCCAUGUUCUUGUUUUCUAUCUGUUAUUAGGUUAAGGUAAUUGAACUAAUCUUGGCAAAAGCUUAAAUCUAUCAAAUGUGGAGAUCAGCUGCUAUAAAUUCUCUAUGCCUCUCAUAUGCAACACUAGAGACAAAUGACCAAAGCUUGGGUAAUUUAAUUUCCGAACAAUGUCUUGGUCUUUGUUGUUUGCGUUGAGUUGCUGUUCAAUCAUUAUAUAAACAGUUAACAAGUAAUCUUUUGUUUUUGACAUCAAAUAUCAGCUUCAAGUAGCAAUAUGCCUGUGGAAUGACAUGAUAAGUGGGCAUAUGGAUAGAAUAGACAGGAAGUGAACAUUUUUUGUAUCUUGAUUUUAUGGUUAAUCUUUAUUACAUGCCUAGUAAUUAGUGAAAUCCAUUAUUUAAAUCAAGAUGCAGUUCUAAAGAAAAAAAAAUGAAAAUUUCAAUGUGCCCUAUAUGACAAGAAACAUUAUGUUAAUUUUUUUUUUUUUUUUCAUUUCUUUACUAUUUAACUAUCAGUGCAUGCGGUAUGGUACAGUACAACAAAGAAUAUGUAUUGGUUCGUCAAAUCCUGCUAGUUUGAUCUCUGAUAUGACUUUCUAUUACUUUCUUAUUGAAGUGAACAGCAAAUUAAGUUUCAGUCUGUUUAAUUAAUUUUUAAUUUUUAUUCAUAUAUAGCAAUGGUUUACAAUUUGAAGUUACAAAUAUUGAUUUUGGUUUAAAUAGAACUGAAGGGCCUUGGUUUGUUAAGAAUGUAAAAUAUGUUUUGUUUUAUUUUGUUUGGUUCAGUUUUUGUUUUUCUGCUUGGUGGAUAUUCAUUCUUGUUAUAAUGAUUUGAAGUUAGCAAAGCAAGCAACACGAUCAGAACUAUUCAAAGUCAGAUCUAAGGAUGGAAAGCCCUAUCUUCAUUCCACUACAGGAAAAAAAAAAGGCAGCCCGGUGCACGAAACUCUCGUCAUGCGGGGUCCCGAGAAAGGAUCCAUUGCAAAGCAACUAGGCCACCUCUUUUUGGGAGCUUCCAAAGAUCCAUCUUUCCAUAAACUUUGAAGGUGAGAAUACUGCAAUUCUAUGAAUUGGAUGCAAAAGAAGGCAGGCAAGAAUGUGUAUCAGAAAUAGAUCCAAGAAACUGCAUGAAAUACAAAUGAAGUAGCUUCAAGUGCAAGUGGCAGUCACUGGCCAUGGAUACUAAUAUGCUAAUUUCUACAGAAGAUUCAUAUAGAGAUGAGGAAGAGUGUCACACUGGUUUGAAGAUUAAAUUGUUUUUGAAAGAUCAAGGAGGGUCAAAUAUACAAUAAUGCCCGAUUUGAAGGUAGGGCUCCGACGUGCAUGAUGAUGCGGAGCAAUCAAGUAAUGGUGGUGCUCGUGUGUAUGCCAUUGUGCAGGCUCAUGAUUGUUGUGUCAACUAUGAUUUUAAUCACAAUUUUUUAGUUAAUCAUAAUCUCUUCUUUUACUUAGUUGUCAUGUCAAUUAAUUAUG
Zingiber officinale is the source of this 3620-nucleotide long non-coding RNA. RefSeq lists it as uncharacterized. Lineage: Eukaryota; Viridiplantae; Streptophyta; Magnoliopsida; Zingiberales; Zingiberaceae. The transcript is spliced from 3 exons. The record is from RefSeq and is a predicted model, not a curated record.